RNAcentral lists this ribosomal RNA (511 nucleotides) under uncultured bacterium. RNAcentral describes it as "bacterial SSU rRNA". It matches the Rfam family "Bacterial small subunit ribosomal RNA", at positions 28 to 526 of the family's 1533-position model. The record is from RNAcentral.
GACGAACGCUGGCGGCGUGCCUAAUACAUGCAAGUCGAGCGGAGUUAUUCCUUCGGGGAUAGCUUAGCGGCGGACGGGUGAGUAACACGUAGGUAACCUGCCUGUAAGACCGGGAUAACAUUCGGAAACGAAUGCUAAUACCGGAUAAUCAGCUUGUCCGCAUGGACGAGCUGGGAAAGACGGUGCAAGCUGUCACUUACAGAUGGACCUGCGGCGCAUUAGCUAGUUGGUGGGGUAACGGCUCACCAAGGCGACGAUGCGUAGCCGACCUGAGAGGGUGAUCGGCCACACUGGGACUGAGACACGGCCCAGACUCCUACGGGAGGCAGCAGUAGGGAAUCUUCCGCAAUGGACGAAAGUCUGACGGAGCAACGCCGCGUGAGUGAUGAAGGUUUUCGGAUCGUAAAGCUCUGUUGCCAGGGAAGAACGAGUGGGAGAGUAACUGCUCCUGCUAUGACGGUACCUGAGAAGAAAGCCCCGGCUAACUACGUGCCAGCAGCCGCAGUAAAAC